Long non-coding RNA from Dioscorea cayenensis subsp. rotundata (Guinea yam), 408 nucleotides. RefSeq lists it as uncharacterized. The record is from RefSeq and is a predicted model, not a curated record. Lineage: Eukaryota; Viridiplantae; Streptophyta; Magnoliopsida; Dioscoreales; Dioscoreaceae. The transcript is spliced from 5 exons.
UUUCCAUUCCUGGGAUGUUUCCAAAUAUGUUUCCUUUGGCAACUGGCCAGUUCCCAGCUUUAUCUGUGAUGCCGGUUCAGGCAAUGACACAACAGGCAACUCGACAUGCUCGUCGUGUGUAUGUUGGAGGUCUUUCACCUACUGCAAAUGAGCAGUCAGUUGCUACUUCAGCCAAGUGAUGUCUGCUAUUGGAGGGAAUACUGCUGGUCCAGGUGAUGCUGUUGUUAAUGUGUAUAUAAAUCAUGAAAAGAAGUUUGCUUUUGUGGAGAUGAGAUCAGUUGAAGAAGCAAGUAAUGCCAUGGCCUUGGAUGGGAUCAUUUUUGAGGUAGGGAUUACUCCUGAAUCAAGUGAAUACUUUCUAUCUAGAUAAGGUACAAGGUUUUACAGCUCCCUAUGCCCAAAUCACUU